GGAAUAUUGGACAAUGGGGGCAACCCUGAUCCAGCCAUCCCGCGUGCAGGAAGACGGCCCUAUGGGUUGUAAACUGCUUUUAGAAGGGAAGAAAAUUAUUGGUUUACCAGUAACUGACGGUACCUUCAGAAUAAGCACCGGCUAACUCCGUGCCAGCAGCCGCGGUAAUACGGAGGGUGCAAGCGUUAUCCGGAAUCACUGGGUUUAAAGGGUGCGUAGGCGGAUAGAUAAGUCAGAGGUGAAAGCUCUGAGCUCAACUGAGGAAUUGCCUUUGAUACUGUUUAUCUUGAAUUGUGUUGAGGUUAGCGGAAUGAGUCGUGUAGCGGUGAAAUGCAUAGAUAUGACUUAGAACACCAAUUGCGAAGGCAGCUAACUGGGCAUAAAUUGACGCUGAGGCACGAAAGCGUGGGGAGCGAAC
Molecule: ribosomal RNA, 418 nt
Filed under: uncultured bacterium
Lineage: Bacteria
Description: bacterial SSU rRNA
Rfam family: Bacterial small subunit ribosomal RNA
Source: RNAcentral